This 460-nucleotide ribosomal RNA is filed under the name uncultured bacterium. RNAcentral's name for it is "partial 16S ribosomal RNA". It matches the Rfam family "Bacterial small subunit ribosomal RNA", at positions 338 to 795 of the family's 1533-position model. The record is from RNAcentral.
CCUACGGGAGGCAGCAGUGAGGAAUAUUGGUCAAUGGGCGCAACCCUGAACCAGCCACGUCGCGUGAAUGAUGACUGCCCUCCGGGUUGUAAACUUCUUUUAUAAAGGACUAAAGUGAGGCACGUGUGCCUUUUUGUAUGUCCUUUCUUAAUCAGGCUCGGCUAACUCCGUGCCAGCAGCCGCGGUAAUACGGAGGGUCCGAGCGUUAUCCGGAUUUAUUGGGUUUCAAGGGAGCGGAGAUGGGUUGUUAAGUCAGUUGUGAAAGUUUGCGGCUCAACCGUAGAAGUGCAAUUGAUACUGGGAGGCUUGAGUACAGGUGAGGUAGGCGGAAUUCGUGGUGUAGCGGUGAAAUGCUUAGAUAUCACGAAGAACUCCGAUUGCGAAGGCAGCUUACUAAACUGCCACUGACAUUGAUGCUCGAAAGUGUGGGUAUCAAACAGGAUUAGAUACCCUAGUAGUC